AUGCAAGUCGUACGCACUGGCCCAACUGAUUGAUGGUGCUUGCACCUGAUUGACGAUGGAUCACCAGUGAGUGGCGGACGGGUGAGUAACACGUAGGUAACCUGCCCCGGAGCGGGGGAUAACAUUUGGAAACAGAUGCUAAUACCGCAUAACAACAAAAGCCACAUGGCUUUUGUUUGAAAGAUGGCUUUGGCUAUCACUCUGGGAUGGACCUGCGGUGCAUUAGCUAGUUGGUAAGGUAACGGCUUACCAAGGCGAUGAUGCAUAGCCGAGUUGAGAGACUGAUCGGCCACAAUGGAACUGAGACACGGUCCAUACUCCUACGGGAGGCAGCAGUAGGGAAUCUUCCACAAUGGGCGCAAGCCUGAUGGAGCAACACCGCGUGAGUGAAGAAGGGUUUCGGCUCGUAAAGCUCUGUUGUUGGAGAAGAACGUGCGUGAGAGUAACUGUUCACGCAGUGACGGUAUCCAACCAGAAAGUCACGGCUAACUACGUGCCAGCAGCCGCGGUAAUACGUAGGUGGCAAGCGUUAUCCGGAUUUAUUGGGCGUAAAGCGAGCGCAGGCGGUUGCUUAGGUCUGAUGUGAAAGCCUUCGGCUUAACCGAAGAAGUGCAUCGGAAACCGGGCGACUUGAGUGCAGAAGAGGACAGUGGAACUCCAUGUGUAGCGGUGGAAUGCGUAGAUAUAUGGAAGAACACCAGUGGCGAAGGCGGCUGUCUGGUCUGCAACUGACGCUGAGGCUCGAAAGCAUGGGUAGCGAACAGGAUUAGAUACCCUGGUAGUCCAUGCCGUAAACGAUGAGUGCUAGGUGUUGGAGGGUUUCCGCCCUUCAGUGCCGGAGCUAACGCAUUAAGCACUCCGCCUGGGGAGUACGACCGCAAGGUUGAAACUCAAAGGAAUUGACGGGGGCCCGCACAAGCGGUGGAGCAUGUGGUUUAAUUCGAAGCUACGCGAAGAACCUUACCAGGUCUUGACAUCUUGCGCUAACCUUAGAGAUAAGGCGUUCCCUUCGGGGACGCAAUGACAGGUGGUGCAUGGUCGUCGUCAGCUCGUGUCGUGAGAUGUUGGGUUAAGUCCCGCAACGAGCGCAACCCUUGUUACUAGUUGCCAGCAUUAAGUUGGGCACUCUAGUGAGACUGCCGGUGACAAACCGGAGGAAGGUGGGGACGACGUCAGAUCAUCAUGCCCCUUAUGACCUGGGCUACACACGUGCUACAAUGGACGGUACAACGAGUCGCAAACUCGCGAGAGUAAGCUAAUCUCUUAAAGCCGUUCUCAGUUCGGACUGUAGGCUGCAACUCGCCUACACGAAGUCGGAAUCGCUAGUAAUCGCGGAUCAGCAUGCCGGGGGGAGAAUACGUUCCCGGGCCUUGUACACACCGCCCGUCACACCAUGGGAGUUUGUAACGCCCAAAGUCGGUGGCCUAACCUUUAUGGAGGGA
RNAcentral lists this ribosomal RNA (1442 nucleotides) under Limosilactobacillus reuteri. RNAcentral's name for it is "bacterial SSU rRNA". It matches the Rfam family "Bacterial small subunit ribosomal RNA". The record is from RNAcentral. Lineage: Bacteria; Bacillati; Bacillota; Bacilli; Lactobacillales; Lactobacillaceae.